UGGGGGGAUUAGUGGCGAACGGGUGAGUAACACGUGAGUAACCUGCCCUUGACUCUGGGAUAAGCCUGGGAAACUGGGUCUAAUACCGGAUAUGACUCCUCAUCGCAUGGUGGGGGGUGGAAAGCUUUUGUGGUUUUGGAUGGACUCGCGGCCUAUCAGCUUGUUGGUGAGGUAAUGGCUUACCAAGGCGACGACGGGUAGCCGGCCUGAGAGGGUGACCGGCCACACUGGGACUGAGACACGGCCCAGACUCCUACGGGAGGCAGCAGUGGGGAAUAUUGCACAAUGGGCGCAAGCCUGAUGCAGCGACGCCGCGUGAGGGAUGACGGCCUUCGGGUUGUAAACCUCUUUCAGUAGGGAAGAAGCGUAAGUGACGGUACCUGCAGAAGAAGCGCCGGCUAACUACGUGCCAGCAGCCGCGGUAAUACGUAGGGCGCAAGCGUUAUCCGGAAUUAUUGGGCGUAAAGAGCUCGUAGGCGGUUUGUCGCGUCUGCCGUGAAAGUCCGGGGCUCAACUCCGGAUCUGCGGUGGGUACGGGCAGACUAGAGUGAUGUAGGGGAGACUGGAAUUCCUGGUGUAGCGGUGAAA
RNAcentral lists this ribosomal RNA (588 nucleotides) under Pseudarthrobacter sp. RNAcentral's name for it is "bacterial SSU rRNA". It matches the Rfam family "Bacterial small subunit ribosomal RNA", at positions 84 to 686 of the family's 1533-position model. Lineage: Bacteria; Bacillati; Actinomycetota; Actinomycetes; Micrococcales; Micrococcaceae. The record is from RNAcentral.